UCUCCGUUGGUGAACCAGCGGAGGGAUCAUUACAGGACUCGCAAGACUCCUACAACCUUGUGAACUUAACUAUAAGCACGUUGCUUCGGCGGGUGUCUCGGAGGGGGUUCUCCCUCCCCGAGACGCUAAACCCGCCGGCAGCCUACUAUACUCUGUCUCUUUGCGUUGGCAUCUCGAGUACAAUCAAACAAGUUAAAACUUUCAACAACGGAUCUCUUGGUUCUG
Molecule: unclassified non-coding RNA, 225 nt
Filed under: plant metagenome
Description: partial contains small subunit ribosomal RNA, internal transcribed spacer 1, and 5.8S ribosomal RNA
Source: RNAcentral